UUUUUGAAAAUGUCUGUGUAUGCACUGAACGUUUGCCAUGUAUGCUAUAACUUAAAUGAUACACUGAAUGGAUAAUGCACCUUAAACUUUCCCAACAUUCUUUUAAGUUUAUAGACGUUUGUCAUUAAUCUGUAUGUACAGUUGAAUAUAUAUACUGGCAUAAUUAUCUCUUUGCAAUUGAUCUUUUUUUUUAUAGCUAAAUUUUUAGUGAAAAUUUAAACAAUAGUCAUUUGAACUCAAUUCUCCAUAUUAGUUGCUUCUUGCUUUAUUUUACAAAUAAAGGGGUCAGUAGGUUCAAUAUAUAUGAUGUUACAUCAUGGUGAAAGUAGAUUUCUCAAAAAAAAAAAAUAGCAGGUUUUGAAAUUACAUAGGCAUGCUUCUUUGCAGUUCACUCUGAAUGAAACAGAAUUUGAGUUGAUUUCAAACUUCUGAAAAGCCUUUGUUCAGUACAAUGGUUACUUACUAUGAACACAGAUCCAGUGUUACACAUUCUUGAGAGACAAUAUUCCUCAGUCAUGUGCAUCUGUUUCCAUAGCUAAAAUUACUACUAUUUCAGGAAAUUAACUUCCUGUGAACCAGCCUUUCAACUGAAUUCUAGUCCUGAAAACGAUUUUAUGGAUGUUUCCAAACAAAUUUGAAUUUCUUUGACUUUUGAAUUAUUGCCCAAGAAUAGCUAUCACCGGGAUUAAAAAGCAAAACAAAACAAAACAAAACAAAACAAAAUGACCUGAUUUUAACUGCCCGUAAACUCAUAAUUUUCAGUUUUCUUUUAAAGAACUUUUGUGUCACUUAAGCCUAUGGAGCACAUUGUAUAUUUGGUUUUCUUUCCUGCCUCUCUCUUUUAAAUUGAAGCUAUUGUCUACAAAUGCAAUGUAUUCUCCAUCUUCCUUCACAUGUGUUUCCCACUAUGAUUUUCCAAUUAACCACACUCAUCUGCCUAAAGUUGAAUUCCAAUGGUUCUAAGAAUAGGAGAGAUAUAUUCAUCUUGAUUUGUUUUGUCUCCUUAAUAUUAUUUCACUUCUAGAUUUUUUUACACAGCAUCCUGUAGAUUAUAGAUAGUUUCUAUAGUGGCCAUUCAAGUGGAAAUCUCUGAGUUUUUUUUUUUUUAAGUAGUGGAGAAUUGGAGAGAAUAACUAAAUCACAUAACAUUCAAUAUGUGAACUAUCAAUUGGCCGAGUAAGUUACAGCAAGAUAACCUACAUCUGAGAGUAAUUUUGCAAUAUCAUGGUAAUUUCUACACCAUAUAAUAGAAAAAUACUACAUUUGAAAAUAUAUUAUAUUUUGUAUAGAAUCUACUGAUUUUGCACUGUAAAUAGAUUAAGGCCUGGGCUAGAGUUCAUAUAUUCUUAAAGAAGCCUUAGGGUUUCAGCA
RNAcentral lists this long non-coding RNA (1371 nucleotides) under Mus musculus (house mouse). RNAcentral's name for it is "long non-coding RNA chrX:120686591-120687962". Lineage: Eukaryota; Metazoa; Chordata; Mammalia; Rodentia; Muridae. The record is from RNAcentral.